RNAcentral lists this ribosomal RNA (1209 nucleotides) under Zoanthus sansibaricus. Its description in RNAcentral is "small subunit ribosomal RNA". It matches the Rfam family "Bacterial small subunit ribosomal RNA". Lineage: Eukaryota; Metazoa; Cnidaria; Anthozoa; Zoantharia; Zoanthidae. The record is from RNAcentral.
AUCCUUUGGUUUUGGGGAAAAUAAAAAACAAGUGGACCUUCUAAUACAUGCUAGUGCAUGCUAGUCUGCGCUCCCCUAUAGUGCCCCCCCACAGGUGAGGAAACCCGGCUACCCCACCCCCAGGCUUUGUAGGGGGCUGGGCCGGAUACGUAUUAGGUAUGAGGGCGGUAUUAAAAACCCACCCUGCCAAAAAUGCGCGACAAUCAACCCGAAGUCACACUUUCACUGGAACAAGGGGAAGGCUCUUUAAGUCCGUCAGGGACAAGGCACCAUUAAAAAAUAUUGGGCAAUAUACGGCAGUAUGACACAAAGAGCACACGCCCUCUUGGCCUGUCCAACUAAGUGCCAGCAGACGCGGUUAGACUUAGGGGCCAAGCCUUUAUGAGCAAAGGGGCGUAAAGGGUGUGUAGGCCGACUGCCCCCCCCCCCAAGGUGGUAAAUGGAAUUUUUCUGUAGCGGUAGAAUGUGCGGAUAGAAAAUAGAACUCCAAAAGCUGAAGCAAUUUACCGCGGGGUGGGAAGGGGGGGCCCCUUGGGGCGCUCUGCCCUCGGGGCGCCCCCCGGUCACGGGCUGAAACACGAGGGUGUGGGGAACAAACAGGAUUAGAGACCCUGGUAGUCCACACUGUAAACGAUGGAGAAAAUGCGAAUGCAGUCCCGAAAGGCAGCAAUCUCCCGCCUGAGUAGUACGAUCGCAAGAUUAAAAUUCAAAAAAUUUGGCUGUUCACCGUUUCAAUUAGAGGAGCGUGUAGUUUAAUUCGAUAAACCGCGAGAUACCUUACCCAAACUUGAAUCCUUGAGGAUUCUAAUGAUCCCAGUUAUGAUGACCGGUAUUGCAUGGCCGUCGUCAGUUCGUGUAUGAAACUUAAAACGGACCCAACCCGAAGAUUAACCGCGGAUGAAGUCAGGUCUUAUGGUCCCAAUGUUUGGGGAUAAUAUGCGCUACAUUUUCUUAUACAAUGGGAAACCUGGGAGGUGAAACCCCAAAGUGAGAGUUCGGUAGGCUAUUGGAAGAUGGCCGAAAGUUGAAUUUAAUAGUAAUCGGAAAGUAUAGCGUUCCGGUGAAAUGGUCUAGGUGUUAGCACAAAUCGCCCGUCACCUUAACUUAGGAUGAUGGUUCGGACGCCGCCGCCCCCGGGCCCCGGCGGUUACGGGCCCCUACGAAGUUAAGCAAGUCGUAACAUAGUGAGGGGAGGGGAACCUCCCCUUG